This 346-nucleotide ribosomal RNA is filed under the name uncultured bacterium. RNAcentral describes it as "bacterial SSU rRNA". It matches the Rfam family "Bacterial small subunit ribosomal RNA", at positions 8 to 334 of the family's 1533-position model. The record is from RNAcentral.
AGGGUUUGAUUCUGGCUCAGGACGAACGCUGGCGGCGUGCCUAAUACAUGCAAGUCGAACGCUUUUUCUUUCACCGGAGCUUGCUCCACCGAAAGAAAAGGAGUGGCGAACGGGUGAGUAACACGUGGGUAACCUGCCCAUCAGAAGGGGAUAACACUUGGAAACAGGUGCUAAUACCGUAUAACAAUCGAAACCGCAUGGUUUCGGUUUGAAAGGCGCUUUUGCGUCACUGAUGGAUGGACCCGCGGUGCAUUAGCUAGUUGGUGAGGUAACGGCUCACCAAGGCAACGAUGCAUAGCCGACCUGAGAGGGUGAUCGGCCACAUUGGGACUGAGACACGGCCCAA